GGACUACUGGGGUAUCUAAUCCUGUUUGAUCCCCACGCUUUCGUGCCUCAGUGUCAGUUACAGUUUUGUGAGCUGCCUUCGCAAUGGGUGUUCUGUGUCAUAUCUAAGCAUUUCACCGCUACACGACACAUUCCACUCACAUCAAAUGUACUCAAGAAUAACAGUAUCAAUGGCAGUUCUACAGUUAAGCUGCAGGUUUUCACCACUGACUUGUCAUUCCACCUACGCACCCUUUAAACCCAGUGAAUCCGGAUAACGCUUGGAUCCUCCGUAUUACCGCGGCUGCUGGCAC
RNAcentral lists this ribosomal RNA (292 nucleotides) under uncultured Bacteroidota bacterium. Its description in RNAcentral is "uncultured Bacteroidetes bacterium partial 16S ribosomal RNA". Lineage: Bacteria; Pseudomonadati; Bacteroidota. The record is from RNAcentral.